UUAGCCUUAUCUGGUCCCUAACCAACAACCCAUCCUUGACUCUCACCUCACCCCUUCUUAGACCUCCCCAUAUCUUUUACCCUAUCCUUUACUAGAUGCUCCCAAGUCAAAAUAUCCCUGGUGUCCAAACAGUGGACAAUGUCAGACGGUAUCCCAAUUUCAUCCAUGGGGCAUGAAUGGCCUGACCGAGGCUGCUGGUAAUGGACAUGCCAGGAAAGGCAGAGUGAGAGGAAAUUGUAAAGAGCAAUGUACAAGAUUUGGCAACAGAGCAGAUGUAGCAGAAGGAACACAGAGAGUGGCCAAAGAUGACUCUCUGGUCAGCAUGUCAUGAGAAGAGUGAGGACAUUGGGGAAGUGAAGAACAGAAGAGGGUGUGAGAACAGCUGAAGAGGAUGAGUUUGGACUGGGCCAUGUCAAGGGAAACGCUAUGUUCUUCUAGACUGGUUGGAGGGACACUGCUAGGUGAAGGGGAGGGGUUUACACUCAAGACAGAAUUCCUAAAGCCCUGCGGAACACACUCCUAGUAAGAUUUUCUAGUGUCAGGAUCUUUUGUGAAGAUUCAGAGAUGUGGAUCACCAGCUCACAUGAGAAAAAAAGAGUAAGAAUCAUUUAACUAAAGUCUCUCAGGGGACUAAUUGUGGACAACAACAUCUAACAUAAAGGCUCAGUGUGUUAAGCGCUUCACAGGCAUUAUCUCAUUCAAUUUGCACAACAGCCUUGUAAGGAAAAACUACUAUUACAUCACCUCCAUUUUCCAGAUGAGGACACCAAGCACGGCAGGUCUUAGUGCCUAGCCCAA
Panthera uncia (snow leopard) is the source of this 798-nucleotide long non-coding RNA. RefSeq lists it as uncharacterized. The record is from RefSeq and is a predicted model, not a curated record. NCBI's taxonomy places the organism in Eukaryota, Metazoa, Chordata, Mammalia, Carnivora, Felidae. The transcript has 4 exons.